UAACCUGCCCAAGAGACUGGGAUAACACCUGGAAACAGAUGCUAAUACCGGAUAACAACACUAGACGCAUGUCUAGAGUUUAAAAGAUGGUUCUGCUAUCACUCUUGGAUGGACCUGCGGUGCAUUAGCUAGUUGGUAAGGUAACGGCUUAUCAAGGCAAUGAUGCAUAGCCGAGUUGAGAGACUGAUCGGCCACAUUGGGACUGAGACACGGCCCAAACUCCUACGGAAGGCAGCAG
This 238-nucleotide ribosomal RNA is filed under the name uncultured bacterium. RNAcentral describes it as "partial 16S ribosomal RNA". It matches the Rfam family "Bacterial small subunit ribosomal RNA", at positions 122 to 354 of the family's 1533-position model. The record is from RNAcentral.